Armillaria nabsnona is the source of this 93-nucleotide non-coding RNA. NCBI's taxonomy places the organism in Eukaryota, Fungi, Basidiomycota, Agaricomycetes, Agaricales, Physalacriaceae. The record is from the annotation of a GenBank genome assembly.
GCAUCAAUGGGGUAGUGGUAACCUGGGUCGUUGCCAUAACGUUGAAUUUAUCAGUCUAUCGACCCGCCGGGGGUUCAAUUCCCCCUUGAUGCA